UACGGAGGGUGCAAGCGUUGUUCGGAAUCAUUGGGCGUAAAGAGCGUGUAGGCGGCCAAUUAAGUCUGAUGUGAAAGCCCGGGGCUUAACCCCGGAAGUGCAUUGGAUACUGGUUGGCUAGAGGACGAGAGGGGAAGGCGGAAUUCCUGGUGUAGGGGUGAAAUCCGUAGAUAUCAGGAGGAACACCGGAGGCGAAGGCGGCUUUCUGGCUCGUAACUGACGCUGAGACGCGAAAGCGUGGGGAGCAAACAGG
RNAcentral lists this ribosomal RNA (253 nucleotides) under uncultured bacterium. Its description in RNAcentral is "partial 16S ribosomal RNA". It matches the Rfam family "Bacterial small subunit ribosomal RNA", at positions 524 to 776 of the family's 1533-position model. The record is from RNAcentral.